GGGGCUGUGACUCAGUGGUAGAGCACUUGCCUAGCAUGCAUGAGGCACUGGGUUUGAUUCCCAGCACCA
RNAcentral lists this transfer RNA (69 nucleotides) under Ictidomys tridecemlineatus (thirteen-lined ground squirrel). RNAcentral's name for it is "Spermophilus tridecemlineatus (thirteen-lined ground squirrel) tRNA". It matches the Rfam family "tRNA". From Rfam's summary of the family: Transfer RNA (tRNA) molecules are approximately 80 nucleotides in length. Their secondary structure includes four short double-helical elements and three loops (D, anti-codon, and T loops). Further hydrogen bonds mediate the characteristic L-shaped molecular structure. tRNAs have two regions of fundamental functional importance: the anti-codon, which is responsible for specific mRNA codon recognition, and the 3' end, to which the tRNAs corresponding amino acid is attached (by aminoacyl-tRNA synthetases). tRNAs cope with the degeneracy of the genetic code in two manners: having more than one tRNA (with a specific anti-codon) for a particular amino acid; and 'wobble' base-pairing, i.e. permitting non-standard base-pairing at the 3rd anti-codon position. The record is from Rfam by way of RNAcentral. Lineage: Eukaryota; Metazoa; Chordata; Mammalia; Rodentia; Sciuridae.